RNAcentral lists this non-coding RNA (104 nucleotides) under bovine gut metagenome. Its description in RNAcentral is "SAM riboswitch (S box leader)". It matches the Rfam family "SAM riboswitch aptamer (S box leader)". From Rfam's summary of the family: The SAM riboswitch is found upstream of a number of genes which code for proteins involved in methionine or cysteine biosynthesis in Gram-positive bacteria. The record is from RNAcentral.
CUUAUCCAGAGCGGCUGAGGGACUGGCCCGAUGAAGCCCGGCAACCGGCGGGAGACCGCAAGGUGCUAAUUCCAGCAGCGCGGCACCCGCGCUGGCAGAUAAGG